RNAcentral lists this unclassified non-coding RNA (334 nucleotides) under soil metagenome. Its description in RNAcentral is "partial contains 5.8S ribosomal RNA, internal transcribed spacer 2, and large subunit ribosomal RNA". The stretch from base 1 to 120 matches the Rfam family "5.8S ribosomal RNA", at positions 35 to 154 of the family's 154-position model. The record is from RNAcentral.
GAUGAAGAACGUAGCGAGAUGCGAUAAGUAAUGUGAAUUGCAGAAUUCAGUGAAUCAUCGAAUCUUUGAACGCACAUUGCGCCCGCCAGUAUUCUGGCGGGCAUGCCUGUUCGAGCGUCAUUUCAACCAUCAAGCCCUGCUUGCGUUGGGGUCCUGCGGCUGCCCGCAGGCCCUGAAAACCAGUGGCGGGCUCGCUAGUCACACCGAGCGCAGUAAUACAUCUCGCUUUGGGCGUGCGGCGGGUUCUUGCCGUUAAACACCCCCUUUUUACCAAGGUUGACCUCGGAUCAGGUAGGAAUACCCGCUGAACUUAAGCAUAUCAAUAAGCGGAGGA